UUUAAUUUUUAAAAUUAACAAAUAAUCUGCCAUCAAUUUGUUUAAUGAUUGAUUAUUAUUAUUAAGGUCAAGCCCUGAAAAUGCAUUCGGGUUCUUCUUCCUUCCUUAAUACGUAUAUGCUUUUGUUGUAAUCCCCAAAUUUGAUUGCCGUUAGCAGUUGUUGCUCUGGCGCCGGAGCUCCGCACCGACAUUGCCAUUCGAAUUCGAGGCUUUGACUUGGGCUGAUGCGUGCGAAAGUAUAAGAAGAGGAUUUGUGGUGUUUAAUGACGGAACUAGUUGUUGUUUUGGGAUUGGGGAAUUGAAGGAGUUCCUCCGAGAUUGAUUCAUUCGUGCCGUGAGAAGAAAGCGAAGAUUCCCGAACCCCCUGGUGGUGUAUGCAGAAUCGGUUGUAUUCUCUGUCAGGGGAAGUUUUUAUGAGAAUUAGGGGGGCGGGGGCGGAGAGAUGUCGUCGGGAGGUGAGUACAACGAUCGCGUGGUUUUAUUGCGCUCCAAUUCGUCGGGUUCCGACGGGGAUCUGGAGCGAGGAAGCGGGCAAACCCCAGGCAGGAGCAGUAACACCAACGGCAAGGGUGCUUUUGCGUCGGAUCUAUUGAAACGUUUAGAUCGAGGGUUAUCGGCGUCGGGUCGACGAUUGAGCAUCAAGCUCCGGCCGGAAAGGGAUCAUUUUCGCCUUCCUUCUACGCCUUCCCCCUCUUCGUCUUAUCCUUCAUCCUCAGAUCGUGGUGGUCCUGCCAAUGCCGUUGCCGAAGAUGAUUACCUCGGAGAUAGUGCACCACCGGAGUGGGCGUUGCUACUAAUUGGAUGCCUCCUCGGCGUUGCAACGGGCCUCUGUGUUGCAGCUUUUAACCGUGGGGUGCAUGUGAUUCAUGAAUGGGCAUGGGCUGGUACCCCAAAUGAAGGCGCUGCUUGGCUUCGGUUGCAAAGACUUGCUGAUACAUGGCACCGGAUACUUUUGAUACCAGUUCUAGGUGGAGUUGUUGUGGGUGUUUUGCAUGGUAUUCUUGAAAUACUGGAUCAGAUAAGGUCACCCACUUCUUCUCAAGGACAAGGCUUGGACGGUCUUGCUGCAAUCUUCCCUGUAAUGAAGGCUGUCCAGGCAGCUGUAACUUUAGGUACCGGUUGUUCUUUGGGUCCUGAAGGGCCUAGUGUUGACAUUGGAAGAUCAUGUGCCAAUGGAUUCGCAGUGAUGAUGGAGAACAACAGGGAAAGGAGAAUCGCUCUUGUUGCUGCUGGUGCAGCUGCUGGGAUUGCUUCAGGUUUCAAUGCAGCUGUUGCUGGAUGUUUCUUUGCUAUCGAAACAGUUUUGAGGCCGCUUAGUGCUGAAAACUCUCCUCCCUUUACUACAGCGAUGAUAAUAUUGGCUUCAGUAAUCUCAUCUACCGUAUCAAAUGCUGUACUGGGGGAGAAACAGGCUUUCACAGUGCCCACGUAUGAUUUGAAAUCUGCUGCUGAGCUACCUUUGUACCUUAUACUUGGGAUGCUAUGUGGAGUAGUAAGUGUGGCUUUCGGUCGCUUGUUGGAUUGGUUCACUAAGGCAUUUCAGAUCAUCAAAGAAAAAUUCGGGAUUCCUGAUGUAGUCUGCCCUGCUUUGGGGGGUUUAGGAGCCGGUGUAAUUGCGCUCAAGUAUCCUGGAAUAUUAUAUUGGGGCUUUACGAAUGUUGAUGAAAUUCUACACACUGGAAAGACUGCCUCAGCUCCAGGAAUAUGGCUUCUAGCUCAGCUAUCUGCAGCUAAAGUUGUUGCCACUACUCUAUGUAAGGGGUCUGGCCUUGUUGGGGGCUUAUACGCCCCAAGUCUGAUGAUUGGAGCUGCUGUGGGUGCAGUAUUUGGGGGCUGUGCAGGAGAGUUGAUAAACUCAGCUAUUCCAGGAAAUGUUGCUGUCGCCGAGCCACAGGCCUAUGCAUUGGUUGGGAUGGCUGCAACUUUAGCGUCCAAUUGCUCAGUACCCUUAACCUCGGUUCUUCUUCUCUUUGAGCUGACUAAAGAUUACAGAAUCUUGCUACCCACCAUUGGUGCAGUUGGAUUGGCCAUAUGGGUGCCCUCUGUGACUACCCAGCCAAAGGAGUCAGGUGCAUCAGAUGCAAAGGGUACUCCACGGGUUUACAGUCCUGUUUCGCCACAUGAAGACAAAAGUGAAGAUAUAGAACUCUCGAUCAUUGGGAACUCCAGUAAUCUUCAUCCGGCAGAUUUCACUUUCUUGCUGGAAAAUAUUAAGGUUUCUCAAGCUAUGUCUAACAACUAUAUAACUGUCUCUGAAACACAAACUCUGCGAGAGGCACUAAACCGUAUGCGUGAUGGCCAACAGAACUGUCUCCUUGUAGUUGACACAGAAGACUUUUUGGAAGGGAUAUUGACGUAUGGGGACAUCAGGCGGUUUCUGUCCAAGAGAUCCAGCGACGUAUCGGGUGGUGGCUCACUAGAUGUAAAUACAUGUACGGUUGCCUCCAUUUUCACUCGCGGCAUAAGCUACCGUGGGCGAGAACGUGGGCUCUUAUUUUGUUAUCCAGAUACCGAUCUGGCUAUGGCAAAGCAACUAAUGGAAGCUAAAGGAAUCAAACAAUUGCCUGUAGUCAAGCCUGCUGACGACGCCCAAAGAGAACACCGAAAGCGAAAAGUUGCAGCCAUUCUUCACUAUGAUUCCAUCUGGAACUAUCUCAGAGACGAACUCAGCCAUCGGAAGCCAAUCAACACUCAGGAUGAAAAUUCCGGAAAGACGACAAGCAACGGACAUCAUUAAUGAAUGCAAAACAAUGCUUGUGGUGGAAUAACUGAAGUGCUUUUUAUACAGAAGAAUCGCUGGCUCCCGGCUCCGGUUAGGGCUCUAAUUCUGAUGCGGCGGUAAUUGCGGAAAUCUAGCGUGGGGGACACCCAAUCCAGGCAACCUCAUGUUAACGAGGGCAGAGGCGGGGUGGUUUGCUGUCCUGAGCAGAUUAUUCUCGAACCGGAUGUGGAGUUGCAGAGGGUCGGGUCGGUGAAGG
RNA transcript from Andrographis paniculata, 2978 nucleotides. It is a transcript of the gene named chloride channel protein CLC-f, with no coding region annotated. The transcript has 11 exons. NCBI's taxonomy places the organism in Eukaryota, Viridiplantae, Streptophyta, Magnoliopsida, Lamiales, Acanthaceae. The record is from RefSeq and is a predicted model, not a curated record.